AGUAACGGCGAGUGAAGCGGCAAUAGCUCAACAUGAAAAUCUUCAAUCCAAGCGGGUUGACGAAUUGUAUGCUAGAGACGUGUGAUCAGCGAGUGUCCUAGACCUAAGUCCAUUGGAAGAUGGCAUCAUAGAGGGUGAGAAUCCCGUCUAUUGGUUUAGUGUUUAUACCGCGUACGAUUCAUGUUCGACGAGUCGAGUUGUUUGGGAC
This 208-nucleotide ribosomal RNA is filed under the name fungal sp. RNAcentral describes it as "partial large subunit ribosomal RNA". It matches the Rfam family "Eukaryotic large subunit ribosomal RNA", at positions 82 to 280 of the family's 3401-position model. Lineage: Eukaryota; Fungi. The record is from RNAcentral.